This is a long non-coding RNA of Rosa chinensis, 460 nucleotides long. RefSeq lists it as uncharacterized. NCBI's taxonomy places the organism in Eukaryota, Viridiplantae, Streptophyta, Magnoliopsida, Rosales, Rosaceae. The record is from RefSeq and is a predicted model, not a curated record. The transcript is spliced from 3 exons.
UUUCCUCAGUUCCUCACUUCCUCCCUCAACUCUCUGGCUCUCUGCGACUCCGCCUCUCACAAAGUCACAAUUGGUCUUCCUCAGUCCUCACCUCUGCGGCUCUGCCUCUCAACUCUCACAAGUCACAAUCAGUCUCUUGCGUCUCUGUCCCAGCCUCCCAGGUACCCCAAGGUGGUCUUGAUUGGCGACUCCGGCGUCGGCAAGUCCAAUCUCCUCUCCAGCCUUCACGGGCAGAUCUGGUGGUUUGUGGUUGCAUGUGGGUUUGUUGAACAUUAAUAGCUGGCCAUAGCCGUGAUACUGUCAUCAAAGCGACAACACUGGUUGAUAGAGAUGGUGGUGUCUUUGGAUGAAAGACACGUCGGGGGGAGGAUUCAAGGAAGCAUAUCAAGUGUGCAGCUGAGAUUCUUUGCCACCAACUUUUCAAGGUUAGCAGACUUGAGAUUCCUUUUUGGUUUGCAUG